This 434-nucleotide ribosomal RNA is filed under the name uncultured bacterium. RNAcentral describes it as "partial 16S ribosomal RNA". It matches the Rfam family "Bacterial small subunit ribosomal RNA", at positions 29 to 507 of the family's 1533-position model. The record is from RNAcentral.
AGCGAACGCUGGCGGCAGGCCUAACACAUGCAAGUCGAACGAACCUUUCGGGGUUAGUGGCGGACGGGUGAGUAACACGUGGGAACGUGCCUUUAGGUUCGGAAUAACUCAGGGAAACUUGUGCUAAUACCGAAUGUGCCCUUCGGGGGAAAGAUUAAUCGCCUUUAGAGCGGCCCGCGUCUGAUUAGCUAGUUGGUUGAGGUAAUGGCUCACCAAGGCGACGAUCAGUAGCUGGUCUGAGAGGAUGAUCAGCCACAUUGGGACUGAGACACGGCCCAAACUCGUACGGGAGGCAGCAGUGGGGAAUCUUGCGCAAUGGGCGAAAGCCUGACGAAGCCAUGCCGCGUGAAUGAUGAAGGUCUUAGGAUUGUAAAAUUCUUUCACCGGGGACGAUAAUGACGGUACCCGGAGAAGAAGCCCCGGCUAACUUCGUG